GACGAACGCUGGCGGCGUGCUUAACACAUGCAAGUCGAACGGUGAAGCGCCUUCCUUUUUGGUGGGUGUGGAUGAGUGGCGAACGGGUGAGUAACACGUGAGUAACCUGCCCCCUUCUUCUGGAUAACCGCAUGAAAGUGUGGCUAAUACGGGAUAUUCUGGGUCUGUCGCAUGAUGGGUCUGGGAAAGAUAUUGUUUCGGUGGGGGAUGGGCUCGCGGCCUAUCAGCUUGUUGGUGGGGUGAUGGCCUACCAAGGCGGUGACGGGUAGCCGGCCUGAGAGGGUGGACGGUCACACUGGGACUGAGACACGGCCCAGACUCCUACGGGAGGCAGCAGUGGGGAAUAUUGCACAAUGGGCGCAAGCCUGAUGCAGCGACGCCGCGUGAGGGAUGGAGGCCUUCGGGUUGUGAACCUCUUUCGCCAGUGAAGCAGGCCUGCCUCGUUUGUGGGUGGGUUGACGGUAGCUGGAUAAGAAGCGCCGGCUAACUACGUA
Molecule: ribosomal RNA, 494 nt
Filed under: uncultured bacterium
Lineage: Bacteria
Description: partial 16S ribosomal RNA
Rfam family: Bacterial small subunit ribosomal RNA
Source: RNAcentral